RNAcentral lists this unclassified non-coding RNA (2798 nucleotides) under Octopus sinensis (East Asian common octopus). Its description in RNAcentral is "intraflagellar transport protein 88 homolog, transcript variant X2". Lineage: Eukaryota; Metazoa; Mollusca; Cephalopoda; Octopoda; Octopodidae. The record is from RNAcentral.
CAAACGUUAGUAGCUUGUAUGUUGUCAUGGUAGCAGUUCCGGUACACUAUAGAAUUCUGGGUAAUGCCAAUUUCACUGAAAGACGCCUGAAGUUUUCUUGAAGUAAUUUUACCACUUUCAGGCCCCUAAUGUCUAAUUAUAAUCGCCUCGGUAUCCUGGAUCAGAUUCAUUUAGCUGGUGAAGAUGAAGAUGAUUUAUACUCUGGAUAUAAUGAAGCCAACCCUAUUUUUGAUAACGAGGACCUGGCUGAUGAUCCCAAUUUUCAAAAAGCUGUACUACAAACUAGCCAUGGCCGGCGAGCACCACAGACUGGUAUGGUGCCUAGGGAUACAUUUUCUCGAAAGCCUAUAGGAACAGCAACAUGGGGAGGAAGAUCAAAUCUGUCUUCAUCAUUUGGCCGACCUAUUAGAACCGGAAUAUCUCCUCAAGAUGGCUCUGCAAGACCAAUGACGGCUGUAAGAGGUGCUGGAUAUACAUCUGCUGGAAACAGAGGUGCAACUUUUGAUUCCACAGAUCCGGUUUUAAAAGGCAUCAGCCCAGUGUCCCCUCUUGAGAAAAGGACCGAUGAAAAACCAGAAGAGAAAAUGAAAUAUCUGGAGAAAAAAGCUUAUGCUUUAAUUGAAGAAAGCUGUUUCUCUACAAGCCGCUGUGAUUUUCCUGCUGCCUUAGAAAAAGCAAAAGAUGCAGAAAAAAAAGAGAAAGCUGUUGUACGCCUCAGGAAGCAGUUAUCCCAGGGAGAACCUAUUAAUCUGGAUUUAACUUAUUCAGUUCUGUUUAAUUUAGCCAGUGUUUACUACGCAUGUGAAAUGUACACGGAAGCAUUGAACACCUACAAUGUCAUCGUUAAGAACAAGCUCUUCAACAACGCAGGUCGACUGAAAGUCAACAUUGGCAACAUAUAUUUUAAGCAGCAGAACUAUGCGAAGGCUAUCAAGUUCUACCGGAUGGCUUUAGACCAAGUUCAACUUUCUCAUAAGGAAAUGAAAAUGAAAAUUAUGCAAAAUAUCGGGAUCUCUUUUGUGAAGAUGGGUAAAUAUGAAGAAGCUGUUGGAUCAUUUGAACACAUUAUGAAUGAAUCUCCAAGUUUCAAAACUGGAUUUAACUUGAUUCUUUGCCAUUACGCUUUGGACGAUCGAGAGAAAAUGAAAAGAUCCUUUGAACAGUUAUUGAACAUCGAUAUUAAGUUUGAUGACGAAGACAAGUACCAGCCUGGUGAAAAUAACCCUUACAAUCAGUUUGUUGAAGUAAUCAAGAAUGAUUCUCUGCGCCAACUCGAAAGAGAAAAGAAAUACGAAGCUGAAAAGUCCAUCAAAACAGCUGCAAAAAUAAUAUCACCUCACAUCGAUAACUCGUUUGCUUCUGGCUAUGAUUGGUGUGUCCAGACAGUGAAACAAUCACGUUAUUCUGAUUUGGCUAAUGAUCUGGAGAUUGAUAAAGCAAUCAUGUACCUGAAACAGAAAGAUUUCAAGCAGGCUGUAGAGACUUUGAAAUCGUUUGAAAAAAAAGAUUCUAAGGUUGCCAGUAUUGCAGCUACAAAUUUAUCGUUCUUGUAUUUCAUGGAGCAUGACCUUACCCAAGCUGAGAAAUAUGCUGAUAUGGCGAUAACCGGAGAUAGAUACAGUCCUUCAGCCUUGGUCAAUAAAGGUAAUGUGCUUUACUCGAAUAAAGAUUAUGAAAAGGCUCGAGAUUUUUACCAAGAAGCACUGCAAAAUGAUUCUUCAUGUGUUGAAGCUUUAUAUAAUCUUGGUUUGAGUAAUAAAAUGCUCGGUCGCCUUGAAGAAGCUUUGGACUGUUACUACAAAUUACAUGCCAUUCUACGCAGCAGUCCUCAAGUUAUGUAUCAAAUUGCUGAUUUAAAUGAUCAACUAGAUGAAAAAGUACAGGCAAAGGAAUGGUUUAUGCAGUUGAUUGGUGUAGUUGCAACAGACCCUGAUAUUCUCUGCCGCCUUGGCCAGUUUUAUGACAAUGAAGAGGAUAAGACAUCGGCUUUCCAGUAUUACUUUGAUUCUUAUCGUUACUUUCCAUCUAACAUCCCGGUAAUUGAAUGGCUCGGAUUAUAUUACAUUGAAUCGCAGUUCCCAGAGAAAGCAGUGCAGUACUUUGAGAGAGCGGCUAUUGUCCAACCUAAUGAGAUAAAGUGGCAGCUGAUGGUGGCCAGCUGUUUCCGAAGAAGUGGCAACUACCAACAAGCACUUGACACUUACCGGAAGGUUCACAAGAAAUUUCCUGACAAUGUUGAAUGUUUAAAGUUUCUGACAAAAAUCAGUGCUGACCUGGGUCUACCAGAUGCACAAGAAUAUGCAACGAAACUAAAGAAAGCAGAAAAGGCUAAGGAAAUGCGUGACCAGAGAAUCAACAGUGGCAGACGAGGCAGUGGUCGGCACCGAGAUGCUCGUGAAGGAAGCGCUGGCAGUGAAAGGACUGGUAGUGGCAGCAGUAGCAGGAAAUCCAGUGGUAAGGUCACACAGAGGAUGGCUGACCGAAUGGGCAGUGGUCAGCGAACAGGUGAUGUGAUAGAAGACGGUUCCUCAAAAUCAAAAGAAAUAGAUGCCACGUACUCAGAUCCACUCGGACCACAGGCAGAACGACCAAAGACAGCGGCACGACGACGGGAAGUUGAGGAUGAAUUUGCUGAUGAAGAAAUCGAAGAUUUAUUACCAGAAUAGCAAGAAAAGGGCCCGGGAAGAAAACAAAACAAACAACAUUCCAAGAACAAACAUUAAUUACACAUUCUAAAUAGACAUCCUCUCUUUGAAUGAUGUACACUAUACGUAUAUAUAUAUAUAUAUAUAUAUAUA